Molecule: ribosomal RNA, 513 nt
Filed under: uncultured Entrophosporaceae
Lineage: Eukaryota; Fungi; Glomeromycota; Glomeromycetes; Entrophosporales; Entrophosporaceae
Description: SSU rRNA
Rfam family: Eukaryotic small subunit ribosomal RNA
Source: RNAcentral
AGCAGCCGCGGUAAUUCCAGCUCCAAUAGCGUAUAUUAAAGUUGUUGCAGUUAAAAGCUCGUAGUUGAAUUUCGGAAUUGGCGCAUCGGUCGUGCCUCACGGGGUAUGAACUGGUGCAGUCAAUUUCUCACCUUCUGGAGAACCGCGAUGUCCUUAAUUGGAUGCCGUGGGGAACCAGGACCUUUACUUUGAAAAAUUAGAGUGUUUAAAGCAGGCAUUUUUGCUUGAAUACAUUAGCAUGGAAUAAUAAAAUAGGACGGCAUGGUUCUAUUUUGUUGGUUUCUAGGACCACCGUAAUGAUUAAUAGGGAUAGUUGGGGGCAUUAGUAUUCAAUUGUCAGAGGUGAAAUUCUUGGAUUUAUUGAAGACUAACUACUGCGAAAGCAUUUGCCAAGGAUGUUUUCAUUAAUCAAGAACGAAAGUUAGGGGAUCGAAGACGAUCAGAUACCGUCGUAGUCUUAACCAUAAACUAUGCCGACUAGGAAUCAGACGAUGUUAAUUUUUAAUGUACUCG